Molecule: ribosomal RNA, 407 nt
Filed under: uncultured bacterium
Lineage: Bacteria
Description: partial 16S ribosomal RNA
Rfam family: Bacterial small subunit ribosomal RNA
Source: RNAcentral
GACGAACGCUGGUGGCGUGCCUAAUACAUGCAAGUAGGACGCAGUUGCGAACGGGUGAGUAACGCGUAGGUACCUACCUAUGAGUGGGUGAUAACUAUUGGAAACGAUAGCUAAUACCGCAUACUAGUAGAUGGAACUGCGUUGUAUUAGCUAGUAGGUGGGGGAAUGGCCUACCUAGGCAAUGGUACAUAGCCUGCCUGGGAGGGUGAUCGGCCAACCUGGGACUGGGACAACGCCCAGACUCCUUCGGGAGGCAGCAGUAGGGAAUCUUCGGCAAUGGGGGGAACCCUGACCGCGCAACUCCGCGUGAGUGAAGAAAGUUUUCGGAUCGUAAAGCUCUGUUGUUAAGGAAGCGGUACUUAACCAGAAAGGGACGGCUAACUACGUGCCAGCCGCCGCGGUAAUUC